Molecule: ribosomal RNA, 253 nt
Filed under: uncultured bacterium
Lineage: Bacteria
Description: partial 16S ribosomal RNA
Rfam family: Bacterial small subunit ribosomal RNA
Source: RNAcentral
UACGUAGGGGGCAAGCGUUGUCCGGAAUCAUUGGGCGUAAAGAGCGCGUAGGCGGCCCUGUAAGUCCGCUGUGAAAGUCAAGGGCUCAACCCUUGAAUGCCGGUGGAUACUGCAGGGCUAGAGUCCGGAAGAGGCGAGUGGAAUUCCUGGUGUAGCGGUGAAAUGCGCAGAUAUCAGGAGGAACACCAAUUGCGAAGGCAGCUCGCUGGGACGUAACUGACGCUGAGACGCGAAAGCGUGGGGAGCAAACAGG